CAGAAGCUAGGAGGGCAACCCACCACCACCAAGACACCCAGGGUGAAGAGGACCAACAGGACGCCGCUGGAUCCACAGGAUGGAGUUGAUGUGAGUAGCACAGCAAGGUAACCUCCUGGGAACUCCUUAUUGCUGUAUGCUACCUUCUCCUCUCUACCAGUCACAGGUGAGGGACCUUGCCUCAAAACCCUUGCCUUGGUGCAACGUUCCUGAAGCAGUGGUGAUAGCGUUGAACAGCUCGGGGUGAUGCAGACAACACAUCGUAGUGAAAAUGCUCCAAAGGGCCAUGUCGCAGAAAGGAACCACCCAGUGUGUCCAAAGGUUGCCAGAAGCAACUACCUCUUCAGGUACAAGUCUUGAGUCCUGGUUUUGCUGGAAUCUGUGGGGGUAUGAAACAUGUGGCUUUCCUUGCUGUACUCUGCCAGCCAGAUACAGCCAAUACUCUGCCUCUGUUGACAGACUGACUCUGAUCCUGACCAAGAGGAGAAAUGAACCGCAGUGAAAAUAAGAAAAACAGAUCAGAGGGAGUAAAAAAGAUCUGGAGCUGUCUUUAAAAACUGGGUCUUGCACCUGAAAUGAGAACUUCUGCUUUGAGACUUUCAGAUGGCCCCUGUGCCGAAGCUGGCCUGAAGGCUCCUCAGACACUACCUGGCAUUGUCCCAAACGCCAUCUGAAUGCUGCUUUCUUGUGUGCUGUCGUCUUUGUGGAUUCUUGAACUCAGAGCACUAUUCCAGUAGGUGAAUAUAUCAAAAGGUGCUGGUGAAGUUGGUGCCCAGAUGCUUUUUCUGGCUCGUCUCACUCUUUCUAGUGAGACUUGGGAACAGUUAGCACAGAAAGAUGUAGCCCAGAUCACUAUCAGCUACAGUGCAUGAAAACAGCUCCAGCUUUCUUGGAGCCUGGCAACUUCUCACAGACAGGACCUGAGCCAGUCCCAGAGUUGCAGCUGUGCCUACAGUAAUGCAAAGCAGUAAGUGCGUAUAUAAGAUUAGUGACUUAACAUGAAGUCUGCUUCACUGAACUGAAAAGUCAAUCUCGAGAGGCACGCAUGUACAGCAAGUCACUGCAGCAGACAGUAACACACGGGAAAUCGUCUCCAGAGACUUGCCUAGGACUCUGCCCACAUGUCUUAAAUGUGUUGACACGUGCCUCUGCUCUGGUGCUCUUGAUCGCAGAGCAGAGUGACUCCUGUAUGUGGACUUGUGCUCUGACCGGUCACAUUCAGCCCGGUCCAUGGGACCCUGUGGCUCUGUGAUCCCGGAGCAGGCAUCCAGCACUACUCGCUGGAGUGACCAGACUCUGGCGUGCGUGUCCUCAGGGGCUACAGCGAUGGCUACAGCGGGCACUGAGAGGAAUUUCCCCUCUCUGCAAGGUGCAUGUGUGGCAUCUUUUUAACCAGUACGGAAGAAAAGAUCUACUUGUUCAAGCAAAGACCUUUCUUCCAUCUUUCUAUUUUAGACUUUUUCCAGAUACUUUGUAAACUUUUAAACUCUGUAUCACCCCAGUAACUCACAGGAUUUGGGGAACUCGGGUGAGUGUGGCCUUUGGCCUUCAAAUUAGGGGUGUGAAAGACUCUAAAUGAUCAGACUUUUAUGCCUGGUUCUCAUCUGGUAGCACGUAUGAGGUCCAGAGUUAGAGCUCUUCCACUAACCACCUAAAUUCACAUGGCUUUACAUGGUACUCUGUUAAGGCACAGGACUUCUGGCGUCUGUCAGACUGGGUCUCUCUGGAGUAAACCAGUUUGCUCUACACAGUUCAGCAGAAUCACACCAGUCCUACCCAGUUAAGGCCCACAGUUUAGACUCCAUGUAUUUAACUACCAGCCUUGAUUCUUCUCUCUGCAGAGAUCUCUAAGCCCACGUCACCUCAGUCUAACUAGCUCACAUUAAACAAAUUGCAGCUUGGCAGCAGAAUCUGGCUUUUCGAGACUGUCUUGCCGAUGGUACUGCUGCUGCAAGAGCAGCACCUGCUUGCGUGGAAGUGAACCAAGGACAGUAUCCUGGUGAAGAUCUGCUGCUAGAGAUCACCAGCUGUGCUCUAAGGCGGUCACCAGGGCUGGGCUAGGUCUGCAGAGAUGCAGAAAGCCUGAAAUGAGUGUGGAGUUCAACCCUGCGCUCUGAGUGAGCCAGAGAGAAGCUGUUUUGCACAGACAGAAGGAAACCAGGCCAGGCUGCGCUGCCUCAUCGCUUGCAUGUGUUAGCUGGUGGGCUCACUUGCAGCCUCCCCUGCCGUGGGAUCUGCCCCGUGCUGCUCUGCCCUUCCCUUCCUAGAGGAAUGGCAGCCGGGGAGGUCCGUCCUUCCCUUGCCUGGGCCCUGGCUGGGCUGUUCGAAGCUCGUGGGCAGAGGGUGGCUCGGCUCUUAGGCUGCGCACAGCAGAGAAACCAAGAGGUCUGAAGACAUCUGAAGUCAUUUCCCAAGGCGAAACACCACACUGAUACUGCCGCUUGUGCUGGCGCAGGAACCUGCCUGAACGAGCAGGUGUGAGGGCAGGGGAAUGGCUGUUUUCACCAUUCCAGGGUGCUGCAAAUGUAAUUCUCAUAUUUGCUGUCCAGUGCACAGAGUGUUAGCCCGUUGGGUACAUCACUGGGCCUAAAUACACUUGAUUCGUGGCUCAAUUUAAUUCUUAUUUCCCUGUGGCAAAGUGAAGGUUUGACUUUUUUUUUUAAUUUCCUUAAAAAUAAAGAUGACGAUAACAGGCCAACCUACAUGUCACCUCAGCUUUGGUCCUGUGGGUUAAGUUGGUGAGGAGUCUUGGUGCCAGGAAACCACGAGGAGGGCUCGUUUGCCACGACCGGCAGCCCGGGGUGGUGCUUGGCUGGAGCGGGCGUUAGGACGCGUUUGGGAAGGAGAGCUGCAGUGCCCUAGCAAGAAGGGGAUGUCUGCCAGGGCUCCCAGCAGCGGGGCAAGUGGAGCUGGGAUGAGGCCGUCAAAGCAAAAAGUUGUAAAAGGACUGAAAAAAGUGAUGCAGGGAUUUCUUUUCUUUUUCUCUUCUGGCUUAUUUCUUGUCCUCCCCCUCCCCACCCCCCCCACCCCCACCCCCCCAGCUUUCCUGUCUAAAGGCCUGGGAGGAGAUUUUGAUAAAUAAGAAAUUGUUGUGAAUUGUGUUGGAAGAAGGCAGCACCGUGUGAGAGUGAUGUUAGUUACGAUGGAUGCACCGUGACUUGCACACGUGGGUGCAGAGGUGAUCCCGGGGGAGUUCAUUCCCAGUGUACUGUCAGAACGGCUCUGCUAUGGAUAAUGUGCUAACACCAUUCUUUUUUUUACUUUUCUCUCCUCACCGCUUGGCCAGUUCUUGGGGCUAUUCUUUUUUUUAAAAAAGAAAAGAAAAGAAAAGAAAAAGCCCUCUAUCCCUAGAGAAGGAGGCAUAUCCAGACCAUCCUGAUUAGAGAUUCAUUUUGCUCAGUGUUAGCAGCUGCCUUUAAAAGUGUAUACUUAUAAACAGCUGGUAAAAGCACCUAAUAACAAACUGUCUGCAUUAUUUAUAAAAGCAGUUUGUGUCUUCACAAGCUGCUCAGAAAAACUGAGCAUUGCCCUUGAUGAAUUAGUGAUUACGCCGUAUUUAAAAGGCAGUAUUUUACUCACUCGAAGUGGCACUGCGCACAAACUUGAGUUACAUCACAACUAGCUGCUAUCUCUUGGCUGUUAGUUCAGCUCCUGGAGAAGCACAGAAAUAUCUUACAAAGAUAGCAAAGCUCUCGGUUAAGGGACGUGGGGGAACACACCUCUGCAAUACCUCUGCCACUUUAGGUAGCUGAAAAGUGGAGGUGCAGCAAAGAAAGAUGAGGAUGUUCUGGAGAUUCAGAUAAACUGAUGAGGAAUUGUAUGGGUGCAAGGGACACGUGUGGUCCAGUGCAACACCACGUAGACAUUAGCUUCCGGUGCCCCUGGGCUUCUGGAAUAUGUGGACCAUGUUACACUCUGCUUUAAAGAGACAAUCCUUAUUUCUCUAUGCAGAAAUUGGGGGUGACAGGACAUAGUCCUGCACAUCUGGAAUGCUCAGUUUUAGACCUCAGAGUUGCUGAAGGCAAGCAUGUUUCACAUAAAAAGCUGACCUUUUUAGGGAGUAAUAGAAGCACACUUUGUGUAGUAUCCUGAAUAUCAUUCAGGAUUGCUGCAAUUUCAAGUUCUCAUUUAAAAAUUCUUUAUUAGCUUUGCAAUCCUCCAUGUUUUGGAAGGAUCACACAGUGCUUGAUUUUGUUUGUAACACACUGGAACUUCAGGAUACACACUUGGUCACAUUGACACCUUAGAUUACAGGACUACAAUAAUUUAUAUCAUUUUGCAGGUUUAAGUCUAACAGAAUAAUGCAUAGAAAGUAAACAGUUAAGAAUUUUUCUUCUGGUCCUAUUUGCUUAGUGGAAAAACACCAUUUCAGCUUCAUACCGAUAAGGCUCUAAUAGCCAGCCUAUCCAGCCAGCAGUUACAAUUUCUCAUUCCCAAAAAAGCACUAAUAAGGUAAAUCUCUAAAGGAGGGCAAGGACAUUUUCCUCUUGAAAAUCAUUCAAUACAUUUCAAUCAUUUCAAUACAUUCCUGAAAAUGAAAAUAACUUUUCAUUAAAAAAAAGAAUACACUUUUUUCCCUUCUUGAGAGAAAGUGCUCAGUAGCAUAAAAUCCAAAGACUUAGUGAAACUGAUUACGGAACUCCCCUUAACUUCAGUGGAACCAGGGCUGGACUCUGACAAAGUUUAGACCACGCGCAGAGAUAAGUCCUUCGAAAAACAGAGCAGGGGGUGGGGAUAUGACUGGGGUUUGGAAAAAAGGAAAAGAAAACAGAAAAAUGGACAAGCAAGCGGAGCUUACCUUUAAAGAAAGACAGGAACAAGGAUGCCCAGAGACAGAGUGCAGAAUAAACAAAUCCCAAACAAUUCUCUGCGAGCAUUGUCAGAGCAGGCUGGCUGCCCC
Molecule: long non-coding RNA, 4900 nt
Organism: Dromaius novaehollandiae (emu)
Lineage: Eukaryota; Metazoa; Chordata; Aves; Casuariiformes; Dromaiidae
Exons: 5
Source: RefSeq, a predicted model, not a curated record